GCAGAGAACAGUGGGAAAGCAUGGCUACACCUGUGUAAUCAUUCAUGUGGAAUCCAAAGCAAUCCUUCAAAGGAGUCCUUCAGAAAGCAAUAGUCAGCAUAAAGUCAUCACAGCUGACUCUGGACAGGAUGUCACUGUGCCAUGUCAAGCUCCAAACGACAACAACAACUUAGUUGUCGUUUGGGACAGAGCUGAACUGAAGUCAGAAUAUGUCCUUUUAUACCAGGAUGAGUUGAUUGUUCCAGACAACCAGCAUCCAUCUUUUGUGAAUCGGACAGAUCUGCAGGACAGACAGAUGAAGGAUGGAGACGUGUCUUUGAUUCUGAAGGAUGUGAAUACUGAUGACACUGGAAUGUACGAGUGUUAUGUCAUCCGGGGAUUCAGAAAACAUACGAUUCUUAUCGGCAAAAUCUACCUUUAUGUUGUUCCUCCAGGUCACACAGGAGGAGACACAGAGGAUGGAUCUCUUAGACUGAUCCUUCACCUGUCAGUUCCUGCUGUGGUUCUGGUGUUAAUUAUCCUUAAACUACAGAAACAUUGUGUGAUAUUUUGGAAGCUGUGAUCCAUUCUUGCACGGGGUGGGGGCCAAUGUUCCCUCUAAGCUGCACACGUGCGCAAUUGCGCACUGCUGGCACGGUCUCUGCGCACAAAAAAUCUGCGUUGCGCACAAAAAAAAUCUAACCUGAACUGAAAUUAAAAUUAAUACUUUAACAAUUCUGUUUUGCAGUGUUAGUCAGUGAGUGACUGGCUGCUCCCGUAUGGGAUUAGAAUGAUGCCACCUUAUCCAACAGUCCAGCCAAUAACGCGAUUCACAUUCGUAUAUACGCAGCCAACCAACGUCACUGACAGGCUAUGACAGCGUCCUUAUGUGCCGACACCGGUGUUUUAGCUGGCAAAGCGGUGUGGCUGAUGUGAAGUUAAUGACAAUGUGUACAACCAUUGGAGAGGUGAGAAGGACAGAUGGAAAAAUUGAAAAAGGGAAACGUGUGGACUUUAUACCAGUUUUUUAAAUUGUGCUGAUAGGGCACGUAAAACCAGAGUUGAUAAAAAUAUCUUCAAUGUUUGGUUUUCUUCCUGAAUGCGAUCGUUGUUUAUAUUUACUGCGGGAAGAAACGGUAAAAAUGCCGUUUUAUAAGGAAAAAUGCUCAAAAGCGCUCUCCACCUGUGAGCAAAAACAAACCCCACCCCCCUGUCCCUUUCCUAUUCCUCCAAAAAAGUACCAUGUCGACCAAUCAAAAAAUGAUAUGGCAACGCGGCAUCUAGUUGUUAAGAAACGGGGGGGAGAGUUUUAGGAGUGACGGCAGUGUUUUGAGAUGUGAGAGAUUUGAGACGUUUAGUGCAAAUCUUGUGUAGUUAGUGUGUAGUGUAGUCAAUAGUUUUGUUGUGUGUGUCAGAACAAUGAGGCGACUGCUGAAUGUUACAGGUGUUACAGCAGUGAUACAUCUCCUGCUGUGUGGCCUGCAGAUAUCAGGCUGUUGUUCUCCUUUAUCUCAUAGUGGACAGAAAUAAUUUUUGGAGAGGCACAAAUAAUUUUUGUGGCAUCAGAUUUGAUGCAGAACAGCUGAUUGUUCUGUAAAUAGUUUGAAAUGUUUAUUUAAAAAACGCCUUGGCUGCAUUUAAAAAAAUAGCUGCAAAAACUUUGUUGUUUGCCAAACUCAGUUACUUUUUUGAAGAAGUAACUAUAUAAUUAAUUGCCCGACUGUUACGUCCCUCUGCAUCCCCUAAUCUCCUCAAUGUUUUCAGCUGGUGCUAAUUGGCCACACCUAGUCAGGUGUGGAUAAAAGCAUACCUGAGGCAAGCUUCCCAGGGAGCUCACUUGUCUUUGCCUUGGUGGCACCAGCCAUUUUAGCGAACCUGUUGUGCCAUUUUAAGUUAAAAGCCUCUUCUCAUCUACACUCUAUUCGUCUCCUUUUUUUAUGUUGCGGCUUUUGAGCCGGGGCGUAACAUAAGUGGGGGCUCAUCCGGGAUUGUUUGGAUGUUUCUUGGGGACUGAAUAUCAGGUUUUUUGUAUUUCUUUAAGUGGGUGAGUGAAGGUGUUCACUGUGAUUGAGCAACGUCCCUUUAGUUAGUGUGUUUCAGCUGGGUGGCUGUGCUGCCCUUCCAUCGAAGCACUUGUUUGUUGUUUUGCUUUGUUGUUUUAGUUUUUUGUGUUUGGUGGUUAUCCUGGGUGGGGUUACGCUUCAGGGUUUGGUGGGAGACUGUACCCCUGGUCUGCUGCCUACCCUUGAGUUUGCGUUUAAAGAUGCCUCGAGCCCGGUACACCAAUGAAGACUAGACAGGUAAAGUUUUAUUGGGUUUUUUUAGCGUUUUAGGCUGGGAGUUGCUCAAAGUGAAUUAGUGGCACCAAACUUGGCAGGAGGUUAAGACAUGGUCUUGUAGCUGAGGCGGGUAGGUUGUUUUUAAGUUGGCAUAGUGUGUACACUGUGUGUGAAUAUGUCAGUGUUGAUGGAUGCUAAUAAGAUCCUUGUGAGGUGAGUGUUUUGUGCUGUGACCUUUAGUGUUGUGGGGAAUAUGACUACACAGGUCAAUGACUAGAUUUUUUAAAAAUUUCAUUGUAAGUGGGCUAAAGCAGUUAUUUAAAAGUAGUCCAACAUAAAUGUAAAUGUUGUAAUAAACCAUGUAACUUGGAUGGAUUAGAUGCUGGCGUGACCACAGUGCACACGUCUGAUGUUGCUCACAGUGGUCCAAGGGAUCGCUCAGGGAGUUUGUGUGUUCGCUCAGACACAUGAAAAAUUAGAGGGAACAUUGGUGGGGGCUGAUCAGGCAGAUUUUAUUCACUGUAAGUACAAAUGUAAUAUAAAAUCAUAUACUGGAUAUCAUAUGUAUACCAUGUGAUAUCACAUGUCAAACACCUCUGUCUACAUAGAUAGACAGAGGUGUUUGAAUAUAAUACCAAAGGAAACUCCUUUUGUCUUUUGCUUUUCUUUGAAGUGUGUUAAAACUCUCUUUUUUAAGUGUUGUCUAGGGAAAGGGAAUGAGCUGCCUAGUGCAUUAGAAACAUACUGCCAUAGAAAGGUUUUACAAGGCUGUAUCUAUUAAACACCAAAUUGUGUAAAUUAUGUUCUAGAGGGUGUUUUUUAUUAUCUAUGUGGAUCUCUUAGGAUAUAUUUUUCAUACUCAACUCUUGGUUGUGUAUAUUUUCUCUCUCUCUCUGAGCCUAGGCUUGGUUGAGCAGAAAAGGCUCCACCUUUGGGUCGAGCCAAAAUCCUCUGCUCUUGGUCCAUGCACUUGUUGCUAGGGCUGCACGAUUAAUCGUUGGAAAAUCGCGAUCUCGAUUCAUACUUAUGUGCGAUCUUAUUUCCAAAUGACAACGAUUAAAAAAAAAAGAAAAAAAAAAAGACGACGACGAUUGUACCGCAUUUUGAUCCGGGACGUAAUCUGCAUGAAAACAAGCGCUCCCUCUUCCUGCUCAACAAAUGACAAGGGCGGAGCCUUAUACCACGUGAUACAGAAGCUGUGCCGUGAUGCUCAAAUUGGCAGGGAAAAACAACGGAGAACACGUCAGGGAUGACGAGAAAGUGACAGGAGAAAAUCGGUCCCGGUCAACCACCCAAACAUCAAUAACGGGAACCUUAUACAGCGCUUCCCUAUACACGUUGAACUCCCGCAGGCACAAAGAAAUUACGGAGGCUAUUACUUAUCACCUGACCAAAGAUAUAUCAACACUGUGCAAAACGAGGGAUUUAGGAAAAUGAUCAACACCCUAGACAAACGCUACACAGUGCCGUCCCGCAACUAUUUUUCUGUUGUUGCACUACCUGCUCUAUACACGCAGUGUCGAGCAACGGUGGAGACGGAAUUUCAAGCAGUACAACAUUUUGCGGCAACCACAAAAUGUGAGGCAUUUAUUGUUUUUAUGUUUAUUUAUUGUUUUAUGUUCAGUUUCAACUGUUACGAAGUUGAUGUGCAGUUAAUAAGUGCAAUAAAUAUUUAUAUUGGAAAAGAAAAUCGUGAGAGAAUCGUGAUCUCAAUUCUAAGCAAAAAAAUCGUGAUUCUCAUUUUAUGCAAAAUCGUGCAGCCCUACUUGUUGCUCAUUCACUUAACCAUGCCACAAAAAAGCAGCUCAUGCAUCCAGUCUCUGCCAGACUGUCUGCAUAUCGAGUGCAGUAAUCAGGCUCCUCAAUGCAUGUGUUUAUGUACUUUGUUCCAAAGAUGUCUCUGUCUCUCUCUCUCUCUCUCUCUCUCUCUCUCUCUCGCUCUCUCUCUCUGGGUGAAUGGCGGAGUGAAUGGUGCUGGGGACAGGAGUGUAGGAGUGAGUGGAUUUCUGUUUUCGAGUACCUUUUUCUAUUUUUACUGUCAGGUGUAGGGAUGGGUACCGGUGUCGUUCUGACAUAAACGGUAGUAACCAGACCGAAAAGCAGCGCACAUUUCGGUGCUUUAUUUCGGUGCUUUCUUUUUUUUCUUGAGCCAAUUCUAGCCAAUCAUUUUACGUUUCCGAGGAAAGUAGGCGGGCUCAGGUACGUACGUUCUUUUAGAGCAGAGCUACAGAUUAAAAAAGGCGAAGCGGUCAAAAGUCUGGCUGUACUUCGCAGCAAAGCAUGCAAACUCAGCAACCUGCAACAAGUGCUUUAAGCUGAUACUGUGAUACUGUCAAAGGUAACACCUCGAAUCCGAUGAAACACCUGGCGACGCAUAGCGUUUUUUUUAAAGCCGAGAAAUGUGCCGUGUUUAGCUUGCUGCGAGACCUCACACCGAGCACAUCUACUGCGGGUGUGGGGCCUGUUAUCGGACCCGGAGUUAGCAACAACCCCCCAAAAACCCGAAGAGUAGAGUCCUGGCCCUUAGCCCUGUCAGCGUAGUAGAAAUGAUGAUGGCAGCAGCAGCCGUUCUUCUCUGAGUGAGUAGCUUAAUGUUGUUCGUGUGUAAUUCACAUUGAGUAGUCUAACCACAUUAUUACAUUAAUGCAUGUAAGGUGAACUAGCAAACAUCAUCAUAGCUACAUGCGGCUGUCUUCUUGUUUGGUGGCAGAUACUCCCUUCACCCUGGCCAAAAAGGCUAAAAUGACCAAAGAAAAAGUGGAAAACAGUUAAACAUGAGAGGUUUUUGGACCAAUUUUGUGUUUUUUCCAUUGUUUAAGCACUGCUUCCAGCCAAGAGUGAUACCAUAUAUGCCCUACAGCUGCAGAAAAGGCUUACAUUGUUAUUUUUUUUUACAAAAAAACAGCUGAACAUGAGAGGUUUUUGGACCAAUUUUGUGUUCUCCAUUCUUUAAGCACCGGUUUGAGCACCGUUUAAGCACCGGCACCAUUUCAAAAGUACCGGUUUGGCACCGGUAUCGGAUAAAACCUAAACGAUACCCAUCCCUAGGCAGGUGUGAUUAUUUUUUCAACACACGGUUGCUAGUUUGUUUUGUUUGUUGCCGGCUGGUUUGGUAGCUUUUGCUGCCAGCUUGGCACGGCACAAUGCCCUACCUGUAAGAAUACUUUAAUCACAACUUAACACAACUGAAACCUAAAUUCUGUGUUGCAUAGUUUACUAACAGUGUGUGCUAACACUGAAGUUAGCAGUUUGUUUACUAAGAGCUGCUGGGACAAACCACAGUGACCGGCUACAGAGUUUUAGUUAAGGUGGUUCUAAUAUGUGACCUGUUGAAUUAUUUACAGGGAUUUUUUCAAUUAAAGCAUCAUUUGUUAAGUUUUUAUGGAGUUCAGUUCUUUUACUGAAAGUAAUAAACCUGAGAGGAAAUAAACUUUGGACUUUAGUAAUCUGAGCUCUGAAGCUGUGAUGGAGCUCAGUCGGUGUGAAGGUGGCUGCUGUGUAACAAAUGUUUGUCUGAGGUGCUGCGACUGAUUGUGGUGCUGCAGGGAGCUGACUGUCCUCCAGCAAACUGUUUAUGGGGACACCACCUGCCCGAGGGUGUACUGAGAGGUGGUGUAUGGUGCUGGGUGUAGUCUCUCUGCUGGUUCAUAGUUUUUACUGAGGUCACCUGAUACCUGGCAGUGAAGUUUUUAUAAAUCAGCUCUGUCAGAUUUAAUCCAACAGAAUAACAUGUAAAACACUCCAGGGCUUUUAAUCUGAAACUUUCUCCAGAGCUGUCUGGAGUUUUUCUUACAUUAAAAUAUUCUGGGAUUACCAGACUGUCCACAUCGUGUGUCCUGCCAAAACUUUCAUCUAUCAUAACUUUCAUCCACAAAUAUACCCUGACAUUAAACCCAAAUAUGUCAGAGUCUGCAGUGUGAUCAUUUAAUGUGGUCUGGAAAAGCUGCAAAUGUUGCAUUUAUCUCAGAUUUGAGAGCAAGUCAUUAGUAUCAGUACUCUCUCUCUCUCUCUCUCUCUCUCUCUCCCUCUGUGUGUGUGUGUGUGUGUGUGUGUGUGUGUGUGUGUGUGUGUGUGUGUGUGUGUGUGUGUGUGAGAGAGAGAGAGAGAGAGAGAGAUAUUCAGGUAACUUACUGGGUUACUGCAGAUGCUCACACCUUUUCAGCACAACAGCUGCAUUUUAGUGUAUUACUGCCUCCUACUGGAGCAAUGAUGUCAUUGUUAACGUAUCACUAAACUAUUAAUUAAACUUGAUGUAUGUUAAUGUUGUCAUGAGACCUGGUGUAGAAAGAGAUUGAAUUCCCUCCGGAUGCCUUUAUAUCAGAGCUGAGAGGUUGAAAGGUCUUAAUAUUUCACCUUCUGUGGUUAAAAAUUACUAAAACAGAGCUUUUCUCUAUUUUGUAAAAAUAAUUUAUUCUUAUCUAAGAUAAAUCAAAAAAUAAGUCUGAUCAAUAUUUUAAUAGGAAAUGUAGUGGUGUGUGUGGUGUAGGAUGGGAUGUUUGAUCUAUAAGAUGUUUGAUUUAAUAAAAGAGAU
Long non-coding RNA from Oreochromis aureus, 6789 nucleotides. NCBI's taxonomy places the organism in Eukaryota, Metazoa, Chordata, Actinopteri, Cichliformes, Cichlidae. The record is from Ensembl.